GUGACACAAUGGCAGUGUGGAGCCAGUGUUGUGUUUUGAGUUACCAGUCUCAGUCUUGCAGCAGGUGUGAGACAAAAUGUCGCCCAGGGAAAACCAGCAUGGAUGAGUACCACACGUCAACCCUCACAGUCUGCUGGUAAUGCUGUAGAUGGAGUGACUACAGCAAUUAACGAGAGAUGUACUCAGUCCACACCGGAGUUAACGAACCUACAGCCUGGUGGAAGGUGGAUCUACAGACACAAGUACAGUCAGCAGAGGUUAACAUCUACUUCCGAACAGAUUAUAAGAAACGACGUAAUGGCCUCCAACUCUACACCUCAGGGACAAAUUCAUCUGACCCCAAAGAAGGAGAUAUAUGUGACACAGUUAGAGGACGUGCUGACGGUACAGACAUUCCUGAUGUCCUGAGUGUCACCUGUCCUGGGACCUGGCGCUACCUGACCGUAUACACAGAGAC
Long non-coding RNA from Haliotis rubra (blacklip abalone), 457 nucleotides. RefSeq lists it as uncharacterized. NCBI's taxonomy places the organism in Eukaryota, Metazoa, Mollusca, Gastropoda, Lepetellida, Haliotidae. The transcript has 3 exons. The record is from RefSeq and is a predicted model, not a curated record.